This 4734-nucleotide long non-coding RNA is filed under the name Homo sapiens (human). RNAcentral's name for it is "HSALNT0302409". Lineage: Eukaryota; Metazoa; Chordata; Mammalia; Primates; Hominidae. The record is from RNAcentral.
CUCCACUAGUCAGGGAAAUGAGGUGGAACCAGCAAAGAAGACAGAAACAACAGCCACAGAGCUAAAAAGGAGAAGCAAGUGAGUCUCCAAAACUAAGUGAAAAAGAUGUGUUUUGAAGAAAAGGGAGUGAGCAACUGUGUUGAGUGCUGAAGACAGGUCAAGUAUAAAGAGGGCUGAGAUUGGACCACUGGAUUUGGCAGCAUGGAGGUACCUGAUGCCACCAAUUCCUGAGUUUUUCUGCUGUUCAGUGGAGUGGACUAUCGCCUUCAAAUUAGCCUGGCCCUGGGCAGGAAGAGAGAGUACCUGGAUCACCAUGGCAAAAUCGGAGAAGGCGUCACAGAAGAGGAAGAUACGAAAUGAAGACCCUGAAUCAGCCCAUCAGAAGCAGGAGAUCCCUUUCGUCGACCUUCUCAUUCCAUCUCUAUGCUGGAGCAUUCUUGUGACCUAACCAUAUUGAAACUGCCUUUGCAAAAUAUGACUGAGACAGUGAAAGAGGUAUAACUUCACCAAUUCCAUCUUGGUUCUAACCUCCAAGCUCUCCUUGAUCAUUCCUAGGCAUAGGCUGAACUAACUUUGGGAGAAACUUAGUUUAUAGUUUACAAUUUAAAACAGACAUGGUAACAGCCCUUUCCUAAAGCAGGCCUCCUUCUUGCCUGGGAACUAGAUUGCCUCCGUAGGACUAACAUUAGCCACAAGAUUAGAAAUUAUGGUUUAGGAGUCACGCAACUGGAGGCUAUAAGAUUCUGACCCUCCCUAAACUGCUCCUAAGAUCAGUGCUUGAGAUAUUUUGCAGACCCUGCACUUGAUGGAUCAGCUGGCACUACCCAGAUCAAUAAACUGGCUCAUCUGAUCCUGGGUGGCCCACCCAGGAACUGACUCAGUUCAGGAAGACAGCUUCAACUCCCUGUGAUUUCAUCCCUAACCAAUCAGUACUCCCGGCUCCCCCCAUCCACCAAGUUGUCCUUAAAAACUGCUCCAGAGUCUCGGGGAGACUGAUUUGAGUAACAAUAAAACACCAGUCUCCCGCACAGCGAGCUCUGUGUCAAUUACUCUUUCUCUAUUGCAAUUCCCCUGUCUUGAGAAAUCAGCUCUGUCUAGGCAGUGGGCAAGGUAAACCCCUUGGGUGGUUCCAAAUUGUUUACCUUCCAGUCUUCUAGGAUGACCUACCAUACACAUCCUCAAGAGUCUCUUGAGUAGCACCCAUUUCCUUCUCUAGCUUCCCUUCCCUUUGCUUCUUGGGUUUGGGGCUGGUGGCUGGAAGGAAUUAGGAGGCUAUAGCCUGUUUUAGGGUAGAGUGCAGUAGAGUAGUGGUUAUGAGGGUGGCCUCUGCAGUCUCACUGCCUGUAUUACAAUCCUUGUUUCCUCCACUUAACAGCAGUGUUGCCUUGAGCAAAUAUCUAAAUUCCCAAAGCCUAUAAAAUGAGGAUCACAAACCCUUAACAUAGCCAGGUUGACAGUGGCACAAACCUGACUUCUGCUAAAAUAACAACUAAUAAUCCCAAAUUGGGUACCCCACUUACACUUGUCAGUAAAGACAACUGACAGCCCUAAUCCUGAGUGGGCAUUCCACCUGAGUGGGAAGACAACACUUCUAAGCAGCCCAGCACUUAUAUAAUAUCUAAUCAAUAAAGCCAGAUAUUGCCAGCCAAUAAGAGACACUCUAAGACUUGGUUUUUUAAUAUAGAAGAGAGCUAGUUUGUGGUUUUAGCUUUAGAAGAUGUGGUAGCCAACCCCAAGGUGGCCCCCCAAUGAUCUACACCUCCAGGUAUUCAUGCCCUUGGGUAGUUCUCUCCUACAUUGUGUCAGAGUUGGUCUAUGUGAUGGAUAGAAUAUGGCAGAAAUGAUGAAAUGUCAAUUACAAGGUUAAGUUACAAAAGACAUUGUGGCUUCUGCCUUGCUUUCUCUUGUACUGCACUUUCUCAGGGACGCCCAUUGCCAUGGCUUGAGGCCUAGAGAAGAGGCCCAUGAGGCAAGGAACUGAAGUCUUCUUCAGUCUUCCUACAUCCAGCAAGGAACUCAGGUCUUUUCAAUGAGUGCAGUCAGCUACCACUCUUGCCAAGAGCCAUGAGUGUCUGUCAUCUUAGAAGCCAAUCCUCCAUCCCAAUCAAGCCUUCAGAUGACUGCAGGCUUGGCCAACAUCUUGUCUACAACUUCACGAGACACUGUAAGCCAGGAACGUUCAGCUAAGCUGCUCCUAGAUUUCUUACCCUUGGAAACUGUGAGAUAAUAAAUGUUUGUUGUUUUAAGCUGCUAAACUUGAGGUAACUUUUGGGAGUACCCAGCAAUACACAACUAACAUAAAACACUUUAUCUGUCUUUUUUUUUUUUUUUUUUUUUGAGACGGUGUUUCGCUCUGUCCCCCAGGCUAGAGUGCAGUGGUGUGAUCUCAGCUCACUGCAAUCUGCACCUCCCAGGUUCAAGUGAUUCUCCUGCCUCAGCCUCCCAAGUAGCUGGGAUUACAGGCAUGCGCCACCAUGCCUGGUUAAUUUUUGUAUUUUUAGUAGAGAUGGGGUUUCACCAUGUUGGCCAGGCUGGUCUUGAACUCCUGACAUCAAGUGAUCCACCUGCCUUGGCCUCCCAAAGUGCUGGGAUUACAGUCCUGAGCCACCACGCCCAGCCCACUUUCUCUCUUGAACCCCAGCCCCUAGGGCCAAAACUCCACUGUAUGCCUGGUCAACAGUAAAAUAAAUUUCCACUCAGAUCUCACACUGUGGCAAUAAUAUGCCUAUUUCAUCAAGUUGGGAGGAUUAAGCAGAUAGUGCAUGUGAAGUGUUUAGUACGAGCCCAGUACAUGGUAAGCACUCAACUAAUGCUAUUUACCACUAUUAUACAGAGACAUAGGCCUGUGGGUGGUUUCUCUGGCUCUUGGUGUCCAAGAGGCUUAAGGCACAGCAUAAUUAAUGAGGACUUAGAGCUCAGGGGACAGGGAAGGAAAUCCGAAUGGAUCUUCCCCACUCCUAGUAGCUCAGAGGGAGCAAGCCUCCAGCUGCUACAGCCAGGACUCCCUUCUAUGCGGGCAGAAGGAACAGGUCAGAGAAGAAACAUCCCCUUUUCUUGGUCCCUCAAUUGACAAAGCAGUAUGUAAAAUGAUAGAAAAAAUGUACCAAGUGAGGAAAGGGAAAGAAACAGGAAGUUAAGGUAGGAAAGUUAUCUUCAUCUGCUUCUUGAUUUUGCCCUGGAACUACCUCGUUUAUUUUCAGCUUUCCCUGGGCCAAGCAGAAUCUGUGCACAACCAUGCAUUCUAGAGCUUAGGACAAAGCACAAGUCUACUGUCUAGCAUCUGCCUGUGGCCUAGGCCAUCUCCGGUAUGUAUGGGCUGUAAGAAAAGUGGUAGGCUCUGGGGGUGCAAGUCAGGAGGUUUAUUACUGGAUCAUUUAUUGUCAGGGGAACCAUGCCAGAAGGGAAAGGUAGUUGCUUGGAAUACAAAGAACAAAGUGCAGACUCUGAUCUGAAAGUCUGUCAAUCCAUGUGCCAAACUAAAGUAAUUAGGCAGGAAAUAAACUGAAGAACAAUUGAGAGCCAAGAGUGGUCAGAGACAGACUAAAGUAAAAUGGGUCACUUGGAGCAAUCAUGGAAUUAAUUUGGUGAAUGUUGUUUAUAUGCUGAAGCCAUUAUUGUUAAAUACACUAAAUGUAAGCCUCACAAUUUUCAUCUUUUUGAUCACAGUUAUAUUCCUAGUACCUAGAUCAGAGCCUGGCGAUAGUAGGUGCUUCAUAAAUAUUUGUUAAGUGAACGAAUGAAUGAAUGAAUGAAUGAAUGCAAAUGUGAUUCAACACAGCUCGAGAAGUUGGGGUAAAUUUAGAAAGACCUAUUAUUUAAGUAUACACACAGAUUUAUUUUAAUUUAUACAGUUAUGAUUCACACUUUUUUUAGGGACAAUCUCCCAUAUAACUCUGUAGCCAAUGUGCAUUAUGCAUUCUGCUUGGAGACUUGGUCAGGUUUCAAGUUCUUCCUGACUAAAAACUUUGAGUUCCACUCACCAGUUAGACAAAUUAGAGUGUUCUAGCUUUGUGGGCUAUGGAAAUAGAAGGGAGAAACAAGCUGGCUGUUACAAAUAUGUCAUAUGAGGAAAUUAUAGUUUGAAUUCACUGGUCAGUACCAACAUAUUAACAGAAUUAAUUGUCCUUCAAGGGUUGUAAGCUGCCAUAUCUUUAAGGGGUAGAAAUACUCAACUAGCUGUCUAACAUAUGGGCCCCCAAAUGAUCUACUCUUAGAGAAACUCAUUUGAUGAGACCAACUGUUUCUCAGCCUAAGACUCUCCAGGAUCACUGCAUUUCUGUUGUUCCAUUUGUAUGAAUAAACAAGAAACCUAAGAAAUGUCUAUAUUUUCUCUGCUCUUCCCAGGCUGGACUAGAGAUGUGAACUCUACUUGUUUGACAAGAAUCCUUUACUCUCUACCUUUAGGACUUUCAAUCAUUUCAGAAAUCUCUUGCUCAGUAAACAAAUCUCUCUUUACAAGGAGAUAAUGCAGCACAAAGUUCAGCUCAGAGUCUAUGCAGGAAAGACUGCAGUUACCCAUCGAUUGUCCACAGUCGACUUGGUUUGAGCUUCCGCAGAGCUCAACUUGGGAACAGUACUGUCACCUGGAGCCAUUCUGUGCUGAAUGACAGCCAUCUGCUUUCCAUGUGCCCUUUCUAUUUGGACAAAUAAAAAUAAUCACCCCACAUGACAAUCCAUAAAUUCAUAGUUCUUCAAAGACACUUAGCCCCACUUCUGAGUAGUAAGACCUCUGAC